AGUCGCAGGCGUGCUGCUGAGGCGUGAGAAUGGCGUAUCGCGGCCGGCGUCCGGAGCAUGGCGGACCCCCAGAGCUGUUUUAUGACGAGACAGAAGCCCGGAAAUACGUUCGCAACAUUUCUGCUGUGCAGUGGCUCUGUAAUGCUAACAAGAAGUCUGAAAACCCUGCCAAGCGCCUGUACUGCUUUUUUGCUUCUCUUUUUUCUGUUCUCGUCCGGGGAUCCCGAGCUGUCCUGCAGCUGUACCCUGAGAACUCAGAGCAGUUGGAGCUGAUCACAACCCAGGCCACAAAGGCAGGCUUCUCCGGUGGCAUGGUGGUAGACUACCCUAACAGUGCCAAAGCAAAGAAAUUCUACCUCUGCUUGUUUUCUGGGCCUUCGACCUUUAUACCAGAGGGGCUGAGUGAAAAUCAGGAUGAAGAUGAACCCAGGGAGUCUGUGUUCACCAAUGAGAGGUAAAGCAACUGCUGAAGCCUGCCCCGGCUGCAGCAGGGGCUGCCACAUUU
This 505-nucleotide small RNA is filed under the name Pongo abelii (Sumatran orangutan). RNAcentral's name for it is "retained intron". Lineage: Eukaryota; Metazoa; Chordata; Mammalia; Primates; Hominidae. The record is from RNAcentral.